Long non-coding RNA from Ornithodoros turicata, 192 nucleotides. RefSeq lists it as uncharacterized. NCBI's taxonomy places the organism in Eukaryota, Metazoa, Arthropoda, Arachnida, Ixodida, Argasidae. The transcript is spliced from 3 exons. The record is from RefSeq and is a predicted model, not a curated record.
GAUUUCAUGAUUCUUCCCAGAAACUCAAUCGGAAGCUUUGACACCAUGUCCUGCCUUCGUACCAUCUUCGUCUUCGCUCUCAUCUUUGGUACCGUGGCUCUUCUGGCUGAAGCUGCGCCAGAGCCUCUGCCGGGACCAGAAGGGGGAGCCUUGCGCAUGCGCCGCGGUGGGGAGUGCACAAUCGACGCGUGC